UAGCAAUCAUCUGUUGCGUUUGUUUUGAUCUAAUCCUUACUAUCUGCACUGAUCGCUUGCUCAUCUGUUGUCGCCCACGCUGGCUGAUUAUAAUAUUUUUUAAUUUGAUCUACAUUCACUAUGUGUUCUUUACUGCCAUCUAGAGAUUUGACUUUGAAUGCAUUUUUGCUCACCUUCGCAAUAAUUUUGUACACUAUUGGUUCUCUGCUCGGCGCGAGACUUGCUGCAAUCUUUUUGUCUGCUUUGGAAAGUUCAACAUCGAAUAUUCUUGGAAGUUCUCUGCCCAAAUGGAGAGCGUUUGGUGAAAAACCAGAGGAUUUGUUCGGAGCUUGCCUGUAUGCGGACAUGAACAUUGAAAGCCUUGUUGGUUUGUGGUCGGUAUGGAAGGUUCCGCACACGUUUUAUUCCCAACUUUUUGCACGCUCCGUUCCUUGCUACGAAGUCCAGAAGUCUUUCAAUCACCACAUUGGACGUGCUCGUUCGAAUUGGGUACGCUUCUGCCCACAGUGAAAAACCAUCAACUAGCACAAAUAUAAACUUGUUGCUUGAGCUGCUUGUUGGAGGUUUGUCUGCUUUUGACUCUCGCAACUUAGUUUGUUCCCGCAAGAGUUUUUCUGCUUUGCGAUGAGCUUGGAGCUCCUUUCUACUCUUGUGCGUGCAACGGCCACAUUGAUGCAUCGGCUCUUUAUCUGGUUCAGGAUCAAACUCAGCUUUUACUGGUUGAAAUUCCUCACAUGAGGUGCCCGAGAAAGUGCGUCUGCAAUCUUGUUAUCAACCCCUUUUCUAUACGUGAAUAUGAUGGGAAGCGGGGACAACUUCAUCACCCACCUCCUCAAUCUGCCUGGUGGUUCAGGAUGGUUGAAAAUAUGCUUUAUUGCUGUAUGGUCCGUUUGCACCUCAAUUUUGACGGCGUGAUCUCACUGCUACAAAAAUGCUGCUCGCUUGCUGCGCAAGCCCUACUUGCAAAAGCCACUGGCCUCAAUUUUCCAUCCAUUUCUUGCAUUAAACAAGCGCCGACACCAGCUUUGGAGCCAUCGGUCAUCAAGACAAAUUUUUUAUCCAUAUCUGAAUUUUGCGCAUCGACGAAUUCAUGGGUCGCAUUGGUGCUUGAUAUGGUGGACCUGGUGCAACUUCAAUGACUUGUUCAACGCCUUUCGCCAAUCCAGCCUUCAUUGAGAAUAAUCCCAAUUUAUGAUAUUUCCUAAUUACAGCUUCAAUAACUCCAUUCUCAUCAUGUUCAAUCUUUUUCAGUAACAUUUUCAAGAUUGUAUCCUGAUCCAUGACCUCUGCCUUGGUACAAGUUUCUGUCUGAGCUUUCGGAGGCUCUUCGUAUUUUCGACGAAUUUUCGGUCUGGUGCUGUGGAACCAUCCAUUGAAGUGUGAUUUUGCUCGGGAGAGAGCACCCUGCUGUGACCUACUUGGUGACUUUGACUGCGCUCUCUUUGUUUCCCCCGACUUGCCUUUGAAUUUGUCUCUACGAUCAUAAUCUGUUCUUGAGUGAGCACUCGGAGGUCUGUCCAGCAUGUCGUACCAAGACGAACUACCUGAACGAUCAUCUCCUUGUUCUCCACACUCUGACUGUUCUAACUCCAUUGAGACACGCGACAUUCUUCGACUUCUGCCAGCCACUUCACUGUUGUGCUGUACCUGACGUUGUGUUUGUGAGCCUUGCAAGAAAGAUCUUUGACCACCUGAAUCAUCGACUACUUUUUUCUUUGUGCCUGUUUCUGAUCUACUUUGUUGUCUUUCCCAAGCAUGUAAAUCUGCCUCUGUAAUUCCACUCUGUCUACUUUUGCUUUUUAAAUCUCUUUCCUUUAUUUUCUCCAUAAUCAAAUUUUGCUGUCUUGCUACUGUUUCUCUAAUCAGAACUAACAUUUGCCUUUGUUGCUCACAACCAGGUUCUAAUGAAUGAGCUAUAUCUAACUGACCUUUAGCCCAAUCUCUUAACUCAAACAACUCUUUUUCAAAACUCUGAUAUGAAUCAUUUGCAUGUGCUAGUUUUUCUCCUCCUGCUGCUCCUUGUAAAUUGUUGCUGUACUGCUGCUGAAUUUGAUGUUGCUGUUGCUGAAUCUGCUGUUGUUGUUCUCUGUAUUUUUCUACCUUUUCGGCAUCGGACAACUCCUGCCUUAAAUUAACACCAGAUUGUUGAUCUCGAGAGCUUGACUUUUCUCUCUCACUAAAUUCCAUGCUUUCAACCAUGCUUAGUAUAUCUUGUGUCUCAUCUACUAUUUCUACUUGAGUGAUUUUGUCCGGAGACUGAAUUGAGUCCCAGUCCUUCAGUAAACUAUCUGCCCUUGUAGCAUUAUUCUCUCUAACUGUAUUCAAUUUCUUUUGUAGCUCAAAAUGCAAUUUAUCCUGUUUGACUUGUCUACUAAUCUCUUGUAUUUGCAUUUGUUUUUCAGAUUUUGUUGCUUCUUUCUUAUUAAAAAAUCCUAACCAAAACUCUGUUUCUUUCUCAGUUAGUUUUUCCCAGUGAAUGUCUUUUGCCUGAAUUAGAUUUAAACUUUUAUUUAUCAACUGGGUCUGUCCAUCUGUUUGUUCCGGACUGUGUUGUGCUGUGCUCGCCGCCAAAGGGAGACCCGGAAGCUCACCUGUGACUCUCUCUUUACUUUGCCAAUUCGCCAUACCUGCGAAAGGUUGGGAACUCGAGUAAGGUACAAAAUGCUGCGAGAGACGUGCUGCGUCUCCGCCUUGCAACAAAUUUUCCUGACUACUGAACAGCAUCAAAUCAUUCCUAGCCGUCAAAGUUGCCUCAAGGUCACCGGAGUAACCCUGAGUUCCUUGCUGUACUCGGAUAGCUUCGUCCUGAUAACCGGGUGCUUCUUGUUGCUGACCUCGGCCGCGGCCAACAUCAAGCGACCCUUUUGAUCUGUUAAAGCGGGUUGUUUGUGGGUUCAUUUUUAUUCAAGGUCAUAAAACAAAAUUGAAAAAAUUUUUUACUCUGCCAUCUUGAUUUUCAUCUCUAUUAUUAUUUUGUGCCAAAUGGCAUUAACCUUGCCCUCAGACCAGCGUUCAGGCCCCCAAUUGCGGUAUUCUUUUAGUCCCAGAGGAUGGGAAUAUCCUCUGAGGGUACCGACCUUUACUCGGGACUGGCGUUACACCUGCUAGGGGACAGGUAGUGUCAAUAGCCAGCCUGAAAGUGAUACCGCUUGGUCUUUGAUGUCGGGUUCUACAGGUCAAUGAUUCGCAUAAGGCUUGAUUUCAUAUUUCUCUUUUCCGUAAAUUACCUCUCUUAAUAACUACCCUAUUAACACUUACGGCUACCUCGGUCUGUUGCCGAUUAGCCCCCCACUGAAUAUUCCAACCCUCAAGUCUUAUACUGUUAAUUUAUCAACCCCGAAGGACACGGCGUAAAAUAAUACUCAGUGCUUGAACGGUUUGGGAGAUACUAAUCUCUCUGCUUUAUUAAUAUCAAGGAGAUACGAUUUACAUAGGGUGACAUCUAGUGGAAAUAUAUACACAUAUAUCAACUGUCCCCGCAAAAUAAAUUGGAGAGGAGCUUUUUGUCUCUACCAUCAAUGGAAUUCAUGGAAUUUUAAAAUCUGGAUUCACAUAUUUGCUGAUGUAAUCAGUUAGUUCUGUUAUAGAUUAAUUAUAUCAAGUAAUAUCAAAUCAUUUUAAUUUAACUUACAUCAACGCAUAUAUUUGUGUGAGUUAUAUUUUAAAAUAAAAAAGUUGAGUAUAAAGCAACUUACAUCAAUACAAUUCAAUUUUAUUGUUGUUCUGUUAAACAACAAUAUUAACAGUAGUCUUUAGAAAAUGUCAGGUCUAAAAUUAAAAUUUAGAGAAUAAAACCCCUUGCUUAGGGCAAAGGGAAAAAUUCAAUAAAAUUGCAAACAAAAAAAGUGACGUAUAGACACAUUACUCAGUUUUAUUUUUAGAGACUUUACAGUUAUGACAAGACUGUAACUGAACUAACUGUUGACUCACAUCUGCACUUGCACCCAUACGCAUCUUCAUUAGGAGAAGCAUUCAUUCAAAUUAAUGCUACUCAGCGCUGCAUGCAGUCACGUCUUGAUAUUUCAUAAAACUAACAAAUUUAUUUAUAUAAUAUAUGGAUUUAUUUAAAUUAAAAGAAAAACAUCUGGCAAAAGGCAAAAGUAAUAAAACUCAAUUGUAUAAAUUUAAAUAUUGAAGAAUUGUACUCUGAUGAGGUAUUUUCAAUAAACUAUAUAAUAAAACUCAAUAUAAUAAAUACAUAAAUACAUAAAUUUUACUCCGAAUUUGAGUUUCUUGAUUAUUUAAAGAAUUUGUAAAUAUGUUUCUUUCUUUCGAUCAUUCUAUUUUUCAUUUGACCCGGUUGUAAAUAAGUGGAUUACGACGGAGAUAUAAUAUGUAAUAUCAC
Neocloeon triangulifer is the source of this 4345-nucleotide long non-coding RNA. RefSeq lists it as uncharacterized. The record is from RefSeq and is a predicted model, not a curated record. NCBI's taxonomy places the organism in Eukaryota, Metazoa, Arthropoda, Insecta, Ephemeroptera, Baetidae. The transcript has 10 exons.